UAAAACAAAAGCGAUGUCGGCUCACUGAAAAAGAGAAAUGAACUCAUCGUCGCCGCCGCCGAAAUUUACUCGAGAGCCUUCGAGAGUGGACAGAGAAUUAAUGCGGAGCUACGGAGGUGUUCGAGGGUAAGCAG
Molecule: non-coding RNA, 134 nt
Organism: Caenorhabditis elegans
Lineage: Eukaryota; Metazoa; Nematoda; Chromadorea; Rhabditida; Rhabditidae
Source: Ensembl